CCUUCUUGGAAGAGCCGUCAAAGUGAAGCCUGAACUGAAACCCUAAAAGCAGCAACAAUAACAUAACAAAAGCUUUGUCGGUCAUUGGUGACGAGUUUGUGAGCCAUCGUUGCAGAGUUGGUGAGAUGACAUGUUGUUUGACGUUAUGGUGAUCGAUCAUCUGUAAAGGAGAAGAUGAGUUGGGCACAGCCACAAGAGAGGAGAAGAUCAUAUCGUAAUCAUGGAAAAAGAGCGAGAGUGAUAAAGAAAGAGGAGGUAAGAGGAAGAAGAAGAUCACGGAGAUGGAGGCCAAGGAGUCGUCACGGAGGAGAAGAGAUCAUCACGGUCAAGUGUUAGGAGAGCACAAGUUGGAUUAUGAUUGUGAGUAAAGCUUAGAGGAGGAUGAUAUGAGCAG
Molecule: long non-coding RNA, 394 nt
Organism: Arabidopsis thaliana (thale cress)
Lineage: Eukaryota; Viridiplantae; Streptophyta; Magnoliopsida; Brassicales; Brassicaceae
Product: other RNA
Exons: 1
Source: RefSeq